Molecule: ribosomal RNA, 292 nt
Filed under: uncultured bacterium
Lineage: Bacteria
Description: partial 16S ribosomal RNA
Rfam family: Bacterial small subunit ribosomal RNA
Source: RNAcentral
GUGCCAGCCGCCGCGGUAAGACAGAGGGUGCAAACGUUGUUCGGAAUUACUGGGCGUAAAGCGUGUGUAGGCGGCCAUGUAAGUCGGAUGUGAAAGCCCCGGGCUUAACCCGGGAAGUGCAUUCGAUACUGCGUGGCUUGAGUAUCGGAGAGGUUGGUGGAAUUCUCGGUGUAGAGGUGAAAUUCGUAGAUAUCGAGAGGAACACCGGUGGCGAAGGCGGCCAACUGGACGAAUACUGACGCUGAGACACGAAAGCGUGGGGAGCAAACAGGAUUAGAAACCCUCGUAGUCC